GCCCGGGUGGCUCAGUUGGUUGAGCGUCUGACUUCGGUUCAGGUCAUGAUCUCACAGUUCGUGGAUUCGAGCCCCGCAUCGGGCU
Molecule: transfer RNA, 85 nt
Filed under: Felis catus (domestic cat)
Lineage: Eukaryota; Metazoa; Chordata; Mammalia; Carnivora; Felidae
Rfam family: tRNA
About the family: Transfer RNA (tRNA) molecules are approximately 80 nucleotides in length.
Source: Rfam by way of RNAcentral